RNAcentral lists this ribosomal RNA (433 nucleotides) under uncultured bacterium. RNAcentral describes it as "partial 16S ribosomal RNA". It matches the Rfam family "Bacterial small subunit ribosomal RNA", at positions 29 to 507 of the family's 1533-position model. The record is from RNAcentral.
AACGAACGCUGGCGGCAUGCCUAACACAUGCAAGUCGAACGAGACCUUCGGGUCUAUUGGCGCACGGGUGCGUAACGCGUGGGAACCUGCCCUUAGGUUCGGAAUAACUCCCCGAAAGGGGUGCUAAUACCGGAUAAUGUCUUCGGACCAAAGAUUUAUCGCCUUUGGAUGGGCCCGCGUUGGAUUAGCUAGUUGGUAGGGUAAAAGCCUACCAAGGCGACGAUCCAUAGCUGGUCUGAGAGGAUGAUCAGCCACACUGGGAAUGAGACACGGCCCAGACUCCUACGGGAGGCAGCAGUGGGGAAUAUUGGACAAUGGGCGAAAGCCUGAUCCAGCAAUGCCGCGUGAGUGAUGAAGGCCUUAGGGUUGUAAAGCUCUUUUACCCGGGAUGAUAAUGACAGUACCGGGAGAAUAAGCUCCGGCUAACUCCGUG